GCUGCAUGGUUGUCGUCAGCUCGUGUCGUGAGAUGUACGGUUAAGUCCGUGAACGAGCGCAACCCCUGCCCUUAGUUGCUAAUAUGCGAAAGCAUAUGCACUCUAAGGGGACCGCCAGCGGAAAGCUGGAGGAAGGUGGGAUGACGUCAAAUCCUCAUGGCCUUUAUGUCCAGGGCUACACACAUGCGACAAUGGUCGAGACAACGCGUUGCAAACCAGUAAUGGUAAGCUAAUCGCAUAAAAUCGACCUCAGUACGGAUUGAGGGUUGCAAUUCACCCUCAUGAAGCUGGAGUUGCUAGUAACCGCAGGUCAGCUAUACUGCGAUGAAUACGUUCCCGGGGCUU
RNAcentral lists this ribosomal RNA (345 nucleotides) under uncultured Caldisericum sp. RNAcentral describes it as "bacterial SSU rRNA". It matches the Rfam family "Bacterial small subunit ribosomal RNA", at positions 1040 to 1382 of the family's 1533-position model. The record is from RNAcentral. Lineage: Bacteria; Pseudomonadati; Caldisericota; Caldisericia; Caldisericales; Caldisericaceae.